This 515-nucleotide ribosomal RNA is filed under the name uncultured bacterium. Its description in RNAcentral is "partial 16S ribosomal RNA". It matches the Rfam family "Bacterial small subunit ribosomal RNA", at positions 28 to 523 of the family's 1533-position model. The record is from RNAcentral.
GAUGAACGCUGGCGGCGUGCCUAAUACAUGCAAGUCGAGCGAAUGGAUUAAGAGCUUGCUCUUAUGAAGUUAGCGGCGGACGGGUGAGUAACACGUGGGUAACCUGCCCAUAAGACUGGGAUAACUCCGGGAAACCGGGGCUAAUACCGGAUAAUAUUUUGAACUGCAUGGUUCGAAAUUGAAAGGCGGCUUCGGCUGUCACUUAUGGAUGGACCCGCGUCGCAUUAGCUAGUUGGUGAGGUAACGGCUCACCAAGGCAACGAGGCGUAGCCGACCGGGGAGGGUGAUCGGCCACCCUGGGACUGAGACACGGCCCAGGCUCCUGCGGGAGGCAGCAGUAGGGAAUCUUCCGCAAUGGACGAAAGUCUGACGGAGCAACGCCGCGUGAGUGAUGAAGGCUUUCGGGUCGUAAAACUCUGUUGUUAGGGAAGAACAAGUGCUAGUUGAAUAAGCUGGCACCUUGACGGUACCUAACCAGAAAGCCACGGCUAACUACGUGCCAGCCGCCGCCGUAA